RNAcentral lists this ribosomal RNA (405 nucleotides) under uncultured bacterium. RNAcentral's name for it is "partial 16S ribosomal RNA". It matches the Rfam family "Bacterial small subunit ribosomal RNA", at positions 28 to 526 of the family's 1533-position model. The record is from RNAcentral.
GACGAACGCUGGCGGCGUGCUUAACACAUGCAAGUCGAACGAGUGGCGAACGGGUGAGUAACACGUGGGUGACCUGCCCUGCACUUCGGGAUAAGCCUGGGAAACUGGGUCUAAUACCGGUUAGUGUGGGAUGGGCCCGCGGCCUAUCAGCGUGUUGGUGGGGUAAUGGCUACCAAGGCGCGACGGGUCGCCGGCCUGCGAGGUUGGGCGGCCACAUUGGGACUGAGACACGGCCCAGACGCCUACGGGAGGCAGCAGUGGGGAAUAUUGCACAAUGGGCGGAAGCCUGAUGCAGCGACGCCGCGUGGGGGAUGACGGCCUUCGGGUUGUAAACUCCUUUCAGCGGGGAGGCGUUACCCGCAGAAGAAGCACCGGCUAACUCCGUGCCAGCAGCCGCGGUAAUAC